RNAcentral lists this ribosomal RNA (460 nucleotides) under uncultured bacterium. RNAcentral describes it as "partial 16S ribosomal RNA". It matches the Rfam family "Bacterial small subunit ribosomal RNA", at positions 338 to 795 of the family's 1533-position model. The record is from RNAcentral.
CCUACGGGCGGCAGCAGUGAGGAAUAUUGGUCAAUGGACGAGAGUCUGAACCAGCCAAGUAGUGUGAAGGAUGACUGCCCUAUGGGUUGUAAACUUCUUUUAUAUGGGAAUAAAAUGUUCCACGUGUGGGAUUUUGUAUGUACCAUAUGAAUAAGGAUCGGCUAACUCCGUGCCAGCAGCCGCGGUAAUACGGAGGAUCCGAGCGUUAUCCGGAUUUAUUGGGUUUAAAGGGAGCGUAGGUGGAUUGUUAAGUCAGUUGUGAAAGUUUGCGGCUCAACCGUAAAAUUGCAGUUGAAACUGGCAGUCUUGAGUACAGUAGAGGUGGGCGGAAUUCGUGGUGUAGCGGUGAAAUGCUUAGAUAUCACGAAGAACUCCGAUUGCGAAGGCAGUUCACUGGACUGCAACUGACACUGAGGCUCGAAAGUGUGGGUAUCAAACAGGAUUAGAUACCCGAGUAGUC